Molecule: long non-coding RNA, 691 nt
Filed under: Mytilus galloprovincialis (Mediterranean mussel)
Lineage: Eukaryota; Metazoa; Mollusca; Bivalvia; Mytilida; Mytilidae
Source: RNAcentral
GCUCCUUUUUACCUUCGUUAAUAAAUUUGUGAGGUUAAGCAAAUCUGCAAUAAAGCACUAACAAAAUUGCUUUUAAAUUUCUUUAUUGAUAAUCGUCAAAAUAUCGACAUUGUCGCAUUUUUUCUGAAUCCAAGUCUGUUUUUGUUUAAACAAUACAACAGCAGAAGUUGGGUCCACAGUUAGUUUGGAAACACCCCUUUACGCCAUAUUUCCAUGAGACUACAUAUGAUUGGUUUGGUACGUCCUCCUGGCCACGUCUUGCGUAAAUGUGAAAAGCAUCAACACAACGAAAAAAAAGAUAUUUAACAUUUUAAGUUUGACAGUUAUUUAUAAUUCUAUGAUAAAAAAAAAAAAAAGUAAAAUUGCAUAAAUACUGACUCCGAUGAAAAUUCAAAACUGAAAGUUCAUAAUCAAAUUUCAACAUCCAAAGCAAAACAAAUGCGUACCAACUGUCAUAGACUUGAUACAGGAUGUAUGUAGCAAGUGGUGGAUUAAACAUGGUUUUAAAGCUAGCUAAACAUUUCACUUGUAUGACAGUUGUUUCAAAUUAUGUUAUUUUGUCACCGUGGUGAACAGAUAUAUAUAAAAACGCACAAAAAAACAUAUAGACAAACCCCAGUAGCAAAAAUGAAAGACCUGAAUACAAAUAUUUACAAAAUCACAAUUACAUAAGGACGGGAUGUUUAAAGCG